AUUGAACGCUGGCGGCAGGCCUAACACAUGCAAGUCGAGCGGAUGAAGGGAGCUUGCUCCUGGAUUCAGCGGCGGACGGGUGAGUAAUGCCUAGGAAUCUGCCUGGUAGUGGGGGAUAACGUCCGGAAACGGGCGCUAAUACCGCAUACGUCCUGAGGGAGAAAGUGGGGGAUCUUCGGACCUCACGCUAUCAGAUGAGCCUAGGUCGGAUUAGCUAGUUGGUGGGGUAAAGGCCUACCAAGGCGACGAUCCGUAACUGGUCUGAGAGGAUGAUCAGUCACAGUGGAACUGAGACACGGUACAGACUCCUACGGGAGGCAGCAGUGGGGAAUAUUGGACGAUGGGCGAAAGCCUGAUCCAGCCAUGCCGCGUGUGUGAAGAAGGUCUUCGGAUUGUAAAGCACUUUAAGUUGGGAGGAAGGGCAGUAAGUUAAUACCUUGCUGUUUUGACGUUACCAACAGAAUAAGCACCGGCUAACUUCGUG
This 484-nucleotide ribosomal RNA is filed under the name uncultured bacterium. RNAcentral describes it as "partial 16S ribosomal RNA". It matches the Rfam family "Bacterial small subunit ribosomal RNA", at positions 30 to 507 of the family's 1533-position model. The record is from RNAcentral.